This 250-nucleotide ribosomal RNA is filed under the name uncultured bacterium. Its description in RNAcentral is "partial 16S ribosomal RNA". It matches the Rfam family "Bacterial small subunit ribosomal RNA", at positions 524 to 773 of the family's 1533-position model. The record is from RNAcentral.
UACAGAGGGUGCGAGCGUUAAUCGGAAUUACUGGGCGUAAAGCGCACGUAGGUGGCGACGUAAGUCGGGUGUGAAAGCCCCGGGCUCAACCUGGGAAUUGCAUUCGAGACUGCAUUGCUGGAGUACGGAAGAGGAGGGCGGAAUUCCCGGUGUAGCGGUGAAAUGCGUAGAUAUCGGGAGGAACAUCAGUGGCGAAGGCGGCCCUCUGGUCCAGUACUGACACUCAAGUGCGAAAGCGUGGGGAGCAAAC